Macaca fascicularis (crab-eating macaque) is the source of this 1534-nucleotide long non-coding RNA. The record is from Ensembl. NCBI's taxonomy places the organism in Eukaryota, Metazoa, Chordata, Mammalia, Primates, Cercopithecidae.
UAUGGAAUCUUAAUUCUCCCAAGCACUGGAAAAUGUCUAAGUCCUGCAAAUUGCCAUUGUGAGCCAGUUGCUCAAAAUGUAACAUGUAAGGUCUAUUUGCAAGGCAAAGCAGCCCCCAAAGCAUAUUUUAUAAAGCUUAUUGCAUUCCACACUGAUCUCUUGGCAUGGGAAUCCUAAGCUGCCAACUUAGCCCUACCGAUAUGAUCAUGCAAUGAGAUUCCAAAGCUCGGUCUCAAAGAAUCACUCAGAAAUAGAACUGAGACUUCCCUUUUUCUCCCUGUAAACACCGAAGUAUCAACUGCUUAUUUGGCCAGGACACUCCCAGCACAAAUAACUAUUUGUUUAUGUCACAAGCAGCAAGGAGGACAUGCUAGGGUGAUAAAAGAUGGAGAAACAGAAUCAGAGAGUGGAUAUAGGGCUGUUCUUAGUAUUAUUUUCAGUGGAAGGUAAAAACAGAAUUCUCCAUAUUCAUCGUCAAAUUUUUCUCAGUGAUUUUUUUAUUCAGGAGUAAGCAAGCACUUCACUGUUUUGCAAAGCUGUGCACAAAUCUUCCUCACCCAUUUGCUGGCUUUAUGCAUUACUCAGGUUGGUGGGGUCAGUUUGAAAAGAUAUAGAAAUUCUAUUUUUGUGUCUUUACACCAUUUAUUUCUUUGAUCUCUUCCUUUUCAAUGAAGGGCCUAUAUGCUUGGUGACCUCCUUUAAGGAAUCUUUGUGAAUUGGGUUGGAAGUUCCUAGACCCACAUACUUGUUUCAUUUAUGUCCGAAAUUUGUUAGCACUUGAUUCAUUUCUUGAGAAAUAUGCGGUCAAGCAUCAGUGACUUUCUAUUGCACUUCAGGAUUGAUCCUGCUAGAGAUGUGACUUAAAAAGACUUGCCAAAUUAUACCUUAGCGACAUUCUAUAGUUCAUAGAUUAUUCUCCACCAGCAUAAAUCAGUGAGAGUGCCUAGAGUCUUUCUGAGAGUUUCAUUGCCAUUAUCAACAAGAGAAGUUGAAAUUUACAAGUCAGGAGGUUAUUGUUCCAGAUUGAUAACCACAGAAAGUGAAUAAACACUUUUAAGGUCACAAACAUUUGCUAGGUUGUCCUUCUCAAUGCAUGUGCAGGCUGCAUCCUGUCCUUGUUUUUAAGCCAGGGUUUAUAAAUACGUAGAUUUAUACCAAUCUUAAUAGAAUUGUAUAUUUUAUGCAAGAAUUAAAUGCUUUACGACAUGAAGUAUAACUCAACCCAUUGUAAACUUUGGUGGCAAUAUGGAUUUGAAACUCGACAGUUCUCUUGUAUUUGCUUCCUAGGUUUCUGCAUGCAAGUUAUGACAGGUAGGACUGAAAAAACACUGCCUUUUGACGUCUAGCAUUUAGCAACUGAGAGUCGUAGAGUCAAUAAAGCUGUAAGUCUCUUCACUUAAUCUGUGGUUCUCCUAAAACUAUUAUCUGAAACCUACAGCAUCCCACCAUGAAAUAUUUGGUAAAUUUAUGUUGUGACGUGUUGCAGCAUGUAAAUAAUUAUAACUUCUCUGCAAUAAAACAUAUUUAUAUGAAA